Molecule: long non-coding RNA, 265 nt
Organism: Melitaea cinxia (Glanville fritillary)
Lineage: Eukaryota; Metazoa; Arthropoda; Insecta; Lepidoptera; Nymphalidae
Exons: 2
Source: RefSeq, a predicted model, not a curated record
GCGCUGCGGUCGGGCGCGCGCGGGCUCGCGGCGCUGUCGACACUGAGAACGUUCUUUUCGGGGCCGGCCCUGCAGGGCCCGGCCCCCGCUAGCUAGAGGAGUCUCUCGGUCGCCGAACUCGAAGUUCCGGAGCUCAGUGUGGAUGCGGGAUUUUGUUCUUCUCCUAUAAAUAGAAAUAACGACCUUCCGGAUGAAUCUAAACCAAUUUUAACCAAGAUUCAAUCUUUGAUACACCUAGAAAACAUAAACUAUGAGAAAAGUUAAA